RNAcentral lists this long non-coding RNA (864 nucleotides) under Sus scrofa (pig). RNAcentral describes it as "lncRNA (ENSSSCG00070007293.1)". Lineage: Eukaryota; Metazoa; Chordata; Mammalia; Artiodactyla; Suidae. The record is from RNAcentral.
CUGGGGUGGAGCUAGGUCUUCUGAGGUGAAGCCAGAGCUCCUGCGGGUAGAGCCAGAGCUCCUGAGGGAAGCACCACACUUUCUAGAGGCAGUGCCCUGUACCCUAGGGCGGAGCCAGUGGAGGGGCGCCAGGCCUGGGGGCGGAGCCAGGUCAUGGCCUGGCUGGAGAAGGCAGACACAAAUGUGCCCGCCUUCAUAGCCCUUUCGCUGCUCAGGCCUGCUUUUCACGGGGCUGCCUCUGUGUCUCCAUCACAGUCUUAACCAUCUGGCCAGCCAGCACUUAAGAGAUCACGGCCCAAGCAAGUGCCUGGAGGGACUGGAGAAACAGCCUGGGCUCCAUCCCUGGGCGUCUGGUGACGUCACCCCAAGUCUCUGCACCCAGUGAAGGAUGCAGGCACGGCCCUGAGGGGCUGCGCCCCACCUGGGGGAGUCUGAGCUCCCGCACGGGGAGAAUGCACGGAACAGCGUGGUCCCCGCUGCCUCUGGGUGGAAUAGAACAACCUCUGAUCGGGGAGCGUGUCUGUGCCUCCGUGUCUCUGGGGAGACCUCGGGAGCCGGGGCAGCUGCUUGCCGCGGGGGGACCUGUCUGGAAGCCACAGAGCUCUCCCUCUCAUCUGGAGAAUGUGCACGGCCUCGGCUCCGCUCGGAUCCCCCAUGGAAGAAGGAAGCAGGCACGACAUGGAGGGAGGAGGCUCAAGGCAGCGUGGGCUCCUCUGUUCCUGCCAGCAGAGGUGGGGCCAUGCCAGGUGACAGGUGCUGAAUCACGGUGGGCGCUUGUGUUUCUCUGAUUUUAGAUGAACUGCAGCCCUUGGACCAAAACCCGGCCUCUGCUUGUUAUUGCAAAUAAAGUUUUAUUGGAACACA